This 612-nucleotide long non-coding RNA is filed under the name Equus caballus (horse). RNAcentral's name for it is "lncRNA (ENSECAG00000057284.1)". The record is from RNAcentral. Lineage: Eukaryota; Metazoa; Chordata; Mammalia; Perissodactyla; Equidae.
GGCUAUUGGAAACUACCUGUCCUGGGGAUUGCUGAGAGGUUGCCAUCUACCCGCUUACUUCUUGGAGUAAAAAUAGAUUUCAGCCAGCAGAAGAAAAUGGGGGAGAAAUGAAGUCAGAAGAAUCUGUGCAAAGGAUCUCCAUAUAAAUGGUGAAUGUGAUUGGAGCAAGUUUGGAGGACGUGUGCUCUGGGAGAUGAGCCUGGAUGGAGUAGAGGAUAAAUGUUUUUCAGUGAGACAGGAAGUCAUUUAAUACUAUCCUCAGGCUCCAGGAAUUUUAUCUGGGGUAACAUUAUUCAUGGGUGGCCCCACUAAGGAAUUUUUAAUGCUCUCCGACUGCGUUAAAUCCCUUCUAAGUGGAUUUUACAAGGUGGAAGGAAAAAUGAGUCUAUCUACUACUGAGAAACAAAAGUGGCCCAGGGUGUGAUAGCAAUUCAAGAAAUGAAUUCUGUACUGUUGGGCGGAUUAUGUGUAACAGGACGCUCGCUGCCUCACCGAGCCUUGCCCCUCCCUAUUCCUUGGGUCAAUAUACAAGAAUGGAAAUGUGGAAUUUUGUCCCUGAGCUAACAUCUUUGCCAGUCUUCCUCCACUUUAUAUGUGGGUCACCAUCUCAAC